UGGAUGGGUGGGUGGGUGGAUGGAUGGAUGAAUGGAUGGAUGGAUGAUGGAUGGAUGGACAAAGCACCCCAUCUCACUUUCUUAUCUCCCGGUACAGUCCUUGUCCACAUUUCCCCCCUGCUCUUAGAAAACCAGCCAUGCAAGUAUGUUGGUUUUCAGGAAGAUAAAACCACACUGAGACUGUUUGGGGGUUCGUGGUUUUUCUGUGAACAUCUCAAUCAUUACCAAACUCGCUCAGUUUGAUCCA
Perognathus longimembris pacificus (Pacific pocket mouse) is the source of this 247-nucleotide long non-coding RNA. RefSeq lists it as uncharacterized. The record is from RefSeq and is a predicted model, not a curated record. The transcript has 3 exons. Lineage: Eukaryota; Metazoa; Chordata; Mammalia; Rodentia; Heteromyidae.